AUUGAACGCUGGCGGCAGGCUUAACACAUGCAAGUCGAGCGGUAGCACAAGAGAGCUUGCUCUCUGGGUGACGAGCGGCGGACGGGUGAGUAAUGUCUGGGAAACUGCCUGAUGGAGGGGGAUAACUACUGGAAACGGUAGCUAAUACCGCAUAACGUCGCAAGACCAAAGAGGGGGACCUUCGGGCCUCUUGCCAUCAGAUGUGCCCAGAUGGGAUUAGCUAGUAGGUGGGGUAAUGGCUCACCUAGGCGACGAUCCCUAGCUGGUCUGAGAGGAUGACCAGCCACACUGGAACUGAGACACGGUCCAGACUCCUACGGGAGGCAGCAGUGGGGAAUAUUGCACAAUGGGCGCAAGCCUGAUGCAGCCAUGCCGCGUGUGUGAAGAAGGCCUUCGGGUUGUAAAGCACUUUCAGCGAGGAGGAAGGUGGUGAACUUAAUACGUUCAUCAACUGACGUUACUCGCAGAAGAAGCACCGGCUAACUCCGUGCCAGCAGCCACGGUAAUACGGAGGGUGCAAGCGUUAAUCGGAAUUACUGGGCGCAAAGCGCACGCAGGCGGUUUGUUAGUCAGAUGUGAAAUCCCCGGGCUCAACCUGGGAACUGCAUUUGAAACUGGCAAGCUAGAGUCUCGUAGAGGGGGGUAGAAUUCCAGGUGUAGCGGUGAAAUGCGUAGAGAUCUGGAGGAAUACCGGUGGCGAAGGCGGCCCCCUGGACGAAGACUGACGCUCAGGUGCGAAAGCGUGGGGAGCAAACAGGAUUAGAUACCCUGGUAGUCCACGCUGUAAACGAUGUCGAUUUGGAGGUUGUGCCCUUGAGGCGUGGCUUCCGGAGCUAACGCGUUAAAUCGACCGCCUGGGGAGUACGGCCGCAAGGUUAAAACUCAAAUGAAUUGACGGGGGCCCGCACAAGCGGUGGAGCAUGUGGUUUAAUUCGAUGCAACGCGAAGAACCUUACCUACUCUUGACAUCCAGAGAACUUUCCAGAGAUGGAUUGGUGCCUUCGGGAACUCUGAGACAGGUGCUGCAUGGCUGUCGUCAGCUCGUGUUGUGAAAUGUUGGGUUAAGUCCCGCAACGAGCGCAACCCUUAUCCUUUGUUGCCAGCGGUUCGGCCGGGAACUCAAAGGAGACUGCCAGUGAUAAACUGGAGGAAGGUGGGGAUGACGUCAAGUCAUCAUGGCCCUUACGAGUAGGGCUACACACGUGCUACAAUGGCAUAUACAAAGAGAAGCGACCUCGCGAGAGCAAGCGGACCUCAUAAAGUAUGUCGUAGUCCGGAUUGGAGUCUGCAACUCGACUCCAUGAAGUCGGAAUCGCUAGUAAUCGUAGAUCAGAAUGCUACGGUGAAUACGUUCCCGGGCCU
Molecule: ribosomal RNA, 1362 nt
Filed under: uncultured bacterium
Lineage: Bacteria
Description: bacterial SSU rRNA
Rfam family: Bacterial small subunit ribosomal RNA
Source: RNAcentral